This 235-nucleotide unclassified non-coding RNA is filed under the name plant metagenome. RNAcentral's name for it is "partial contains small subunit ribosomal RNA, internal transcribed spacer 1, and 5.8S ribosomal RNA". The record is from RNAcentral.
UCUCCGUUGGUGAACCAACGGAGGGAUCAUUACCGAAGUUACCUUCAAAACCCACUGUGAACCUUACCUCUUGCCGCGUUGUCUCGGCGGGAGGCGGUGUGCGUCGCGCGCCCUAGCGGGCCGCGCCGCUCCCGUCCCUGCCGGCAGCGCCAAACUCUAAAUGCACAGCGGACUGUACGUUCUGAUUUACAAAAAAAACAAGUUAAAACUUUCAACAACGGAUCUCUUGGUUCUG